Molecule: ribosomal RNA, 408 nt
Filed under: uncultured bacterium
Lineage: Bacteria
Description: partial 16S ribosomal RNA
Rfam family: Bacterial small subunit ribosomal RNA
Source: RNAcentral
GACGAACGCUGGCGGCGUGCUUAACACAUGCAAGUCGAACGAAGUGGCGGACGGGUGAGUAACGCGUAAUCAACCUGCCCUUCAGAGGGGGACAACAGUUGGAAAAGACUGCUAAUACCGCAUACUGAAGGAGGGGAUUGCUUCUGAUAAGCUAGUUGGAGGGGGAACGGCCCACCAAGGCGAUGAUCAGUAGCCGGUCUUGGAGGGUGAACGGCCACAUUGGGACUGAGACACGGCCCAGACUCCUACGGGAGGCAGCAGUGGGGAAUCUUCCGCAAUGGACGAAAGUCUGGCUGAGCAACGCCGCGUGAGCGAUGACGGCCUUCGGGUUGUAAAGCUCUGUUAAUCGGGACGCGGUACCGGAAUAGAAAGCCACGGCUAACUACGUGCCAGUAGCCGCGGUAAUUC